AGCAAUUCCGACUCAUUGAUACUGAUCACUGGACAUUCUUUUGGAGGCUGUGUAGCUACCCUUUCACCUUAUGGCUGCUACAAAGCCUCGACUUGUCGAAAGUGAAACGCCCCCUUUGCAUCACUUUUGGUUCCCCCUUGAUCGGUGAUGGAAAUCUCCGACAAUGUGUGUUGCAAUUCUCAAAAUGGAGUUCUUGCUUCUUGAAUGUAGCCUCUAUCAACGAUCCUGUACCUAAAGUCUUCUUAACCGCUUCGCAAGCAAAUGACUAUAAGCCUUUCGGAACAUUCCUAUUGUGCUCCACUUCGGGUUGUUCUUGCUUUGAGGACCCUAUUGCCAUUUUGCAACUGUUGGUAGAAACCAGCUCUCAGAGUGCUCAAAUUCAAGGUCCGAAUUCGGGGAUUCAGUUUUUCGAUUAUGGACAGAUUUUGAGUGAUCUCAAGCUGAAGGCAUUUUCUAGAGAUGUCUUUGAGUUGGUUGAAGAGGAUAGAUUUCCACUUAAAGCUGGAAUUAAAACACAAUUAGCGGCAAUAUUUGGAGUUAAUAGCUCACAGGUAUCCAACUUUCCACACACAAUCAUUUGAUUGAUGAGAUUUAGAGAAAUGGUUUCUGCACAAACCUGUUAAUUUCUGUCUUUUGAUUCCCCUUAAAUUUAUUUAGUCCAAAUCCCAUGUUUUUUUCAUCCUAUAUAUAUUUUUAUUUCUACUAACUUUUCUCGCGACUCAUUUUGUAAAAGUCAUUGCAGCAGCAACGACCCGACAUAAAUUUCGGCAAUCUGAUACAAAAGAUGGAAACUCAAGAACGUCAGCACGCAAACCAGAAGAAGCAGGUUUACAGUUCUUUCGGGAAAUUGAAUGAGAUUAAAAAGUACAUGGCCUACAUGGAAUGGUACAAGGGGCAUUCCAAAACCAUGGGAAUUGGAUACUAUGACAGCUAUAAAAACAAGGGUAACACAUAUGACAAUGAUGCCGAAGGGUUGAAGAACAAGCUCUCUCGCUACUGGCAGGACACAGUUGAAGAAGUUGAGAGAAAGCCCCAGGAAGAAGAAGCCGCAAUGCGUACUGGCUUUCUAUUUGCUGGAACCAAUUGCAGAAGGAUGAUCGAACCGCUUCACAUUGCAGACCACUACAAGGGAGGUAAAAAAGAUUACAUAAAGGAAAGGCCUCGACAUUUCGUUCUGUUGGAGCGAUGGUUCAAUGAAGACGAGGAAAAGAAGAAGGCAGAGAGAGAGAAGAAAGAAAGGGAGAACCCCCAACUGCGCAGCGAAAGCAAGCCCAACUCAAAAGCAAAGAAUGUGGCUUCUAGUCUGAAUGAUGAUUCUUGUUUUUGGGCGCACGUCGAGGAAGCGCUUAUCUUGUGCAACAAACAAGCGAGUAAUCCAAAUAUCGAAUUUGAGCAGUACGUGCUGAAUAAUCUCGAGAAGUUUGCAGUAACGCCUGACAUUUUCUUGGCCCAAAGCAGCUACAUGCAAUGGUGGAACGAGUACAAAAAAAGGGUGGGAAAUGACUAUUCCUCACCACUCGCCAAGGUCAUGAAGCGUCACACUUAUACCAAGUAUGCGGAGGGGGUCUCGGUUCUUGCUGAUAUCUAAUGCAGGAUAAUUAAGUUUUAAGCAAGCAAUUAAAUUAAAUAAAGCAAGAUUAGUUAUGUUGUAUUCAGUGGCGGAGCCACGAUUUUAGGUGAGGAGGGGCCUCACAUAAAUGUGAAAAAAAUUAAAUAAUGCAUGCUUGGAGUUGUGAGCUAAUUAUUUUUGAGGCUCUAAAUGUUUUUUCUAUGUCGAAGUUAACCUUCCAUUCUCAAUUCAAUGAAAAUACUGGGGAUACUAUGUUUUUAGACCAUAUUUUAGAAACCACAUAAUGUGACCUCGUUGAUAAUUGGAUUCCUUUUUUGGUGAUUUAAAGAAGUAGUCCAACCAUUAAGUACGAUACAAUCAUGCGGUCACAAAAUAUGGCUCAAGUAGAAGCUAUCUAUAGCAUCACUCCAAGUCAAUAUAGAAUAGAUUGGGAAUUUCCUAACAAAAAAUGAGAAUUAUGGAUUGGGAAUUUGGUGAACAAAAUAUGAAAUUUUAAAAAUUUAGUAAAAAGUUAAAGAGAACAAAGAUAAAAUAUAUAAAUUUCAAGAAGCGGAGAAGAAGAAACUCAAAGUUUAUUAUUCUUCAGUUGGCAAUGUAAAAGAAUAUUUUUUUGAUAAAACUAAACUAGACUUUAGAUUUUAAUUUUAAGAGCUAUUGAUUUGUUUAUAAAAUAAGAUUGUAAAUUUAUUUUUAGGACGAGUUUUGUUGGGAUUGAAAAGAAAAAGAGACUUCUUAUUUUAACUAUUAGUGAAUAGCAAUUAAGAGUUUUGUGUAAACUAAAAGAAGUAUAAUAUUAAGUUUAUCCAAAUAUAAUACAUAAUUAUAUAGAAAAGUUAGUUGGGGGGUAGGCCUUGGCCUAUGGUGUGGCCUUAGAGUGCCUCCGCCCCUGGCUGUAUUGCUCCUGAUCUUCAUAAAGAAAGGUGUGCAGUACUUGCCGGACUUUUUGGCGCUACAACUUUUGAAUAUUUUUGUUUGUGGUUUCGUUUUGUUUUGGGCUCUAGCAUCUAGAUCUCUUUGUUCAAAGUAUAAGAAUGUGUGGGGGUAUUGUUUCAAUUAUGAUGUUGUAAUUUCCACUUCAUAAAGCAAUGACACUCGUUGCAUUUCGAUUUCACUAAGUAUGAGGCUUAUCCUAAUUUCAGUCUUUCAGCACAUUGCUACUAGUGAAGUUUAAAUAUUUGGUAACUGCUUAUGAUUCUUUCUUUUAUCAAUUUUUAUGUGUUAAUGUAGAUGCUUCUAAUGAGUUGAUAUUCUACUGUUUAUUUUACCUUAUUCUUAGCUAUAAUUUAUUGAUUAUUUUGGUUGAAUUUUGAUACUUUGUUCUAUAUUUCAAUUACAGGACAUGUGAAUCUACUUUGGGCAUAAAGUGAUCAAACGAAGGAAUUUUGGAGUAAUUUCAAUUGGAAUAGAUUCGUGAGUCUUUCAAGAUGAUUGUGUCAAAAUUCUAGAAUUUAAUUCCAAGCCGUUUGACCGUGGCAAAGAAAAGAAGACUCAGCGUGCAACUUUCCCAAUUGUUUUAUGGUUAUUCGUAACUAAUUUCCGUUUACUAGAACAAGAUUACUAGCCUUAGCAUGAAUAUGUUGUAAUGACCCGUCUCAGAUUGUAUGAAACACAGAUCGUCGAGAACAAUUUUGUAAUUUCACGUUUGGAAGAUAUUUGUAUUCUUGAGUUUAGUGGACCUUAUUUUGUGAGUCACGAGGCCCACAUGUUUCCCUUGUCUCCCGGCUGCCUCUCUUCCCUCUCCCCGUCACUCUCUUUCCCUCCCUUCACUCUCUCUAAAACUCUCUUCUCUCAUCUGUCUCUCUAACCUUCCUUCUCCGGGAAAGCACACAAACACAACAACAACAGCAGCAGCUGCACAACACCAUCCCUCACCCUCUAUGCGAACCUCACGAACCCAAAAACGGUGAGCGGACUUUUCCCCAGUUUUCCGGCGAGACGCAUUUUUUGGCCAUAUCCGGCCAGCUUUUGGCUUCUAAAUAGGUAAAAUCGUAUUUCUCUCCUCUUAAGCUUCGUUUUGACAUAUUAUGGGUCCGAUUUGACUAAGAAAUGAGGAAGUUAUAACCUUUUAAAGUUUACCUAGUUUCCGGCGACCCCCACGGCUUUCAAGUCAUUUUCCGGCUAAACCACGGCUAUUUAGCCGUGGAGAAAGGUACCAUUCUCUUCAUUUCGUCAAUAAGUAUGAUUUUCAUCUAUGAAUCACUUGAUUUCGUCGAGUAUUGAAGAAGUUAUGGACGUUUAAAGUUUACUCAGUUUCCGGCGUGUUCCCCCGUUUUUCUGCGGACCAGUCAGUUUUCAGGCUAUUUUCCGGCCAUCUCCGGCAACCUUUGAACUUCCAAAUAGGUAUAUUCUUGUUCUACACUUUCCUAGUUUCGUUUUGAUAUAUUAUGAGUUCGUCGCGAAACAUUUAAGAUGACGGAAUUAGGUCGGGCAACAGAGCCUGACCCGAUGAACAUGACGACGAAAGUCCGUCAGGUAAGGCUGCGUUGACCAUAUUGUAUUGCUACUAGGUGAAUUCGGACAAAAAAACAGAAAGCUCAACGGCCAUUCCCUAGCUCAGAUUAACUCGUUAGAUUUCUUUGUAAAUUUCUUUGUAUUCUUCCACGAAUGUUUAGUUGCUAAAAUCAAAUCAUGUAUUAAAUUACUCUGGAAUUUUCGUAACGUAAGAACAAGCUGGAAGCAACAUGGAAUAAAUAAUUAUUCUGAACUUUAACACGUAAACGUAGAUAAGAAGGCCAGAGGAAAAGCAUCGGGGCAAAGGUCCAACUCCCUCUCCUCCGGGAACCUUCCAGGAACAAGAUCCGUAGACGACGACGUAGACUUUCCUGUGCAUUGUCGACUUGGCGGGAAAUUCCCUCGUGGAACUUGGUGGAACAAUGACGUCCAUAACAAUAGUAAUGAUAGGACUUUCCUCUUCUAUAUAAAGAAAGACACUGAGCAUUCUGGUUUCCAAAUCUCUCAAUCUACUGUGUUUUUAAGCAGAUCGCCAGAAGCUUGAAGAUGAACAACCAGUAAGUUAACUUCAAACUCCUCCGAUCCUUGUUCUUCUUUGAAUCCUUUGUCAUUGAUUUUCCUUAUGGUUUGUUAGGCCUAAGUAUGAUUAUGCUCAAUAUAGUUUGGCAAAUUUCCACUUCAUCCAUGUGUGUCGAUUGUCGUGAUUAAGCAGACAUGUCUAGGACGGCUUCUGGAAUGGCUACAAGUAUUUUGCAUGAAACUUCUUAGGGUUAAUUUUGGGGAAAAAAUUUACCGAGUAGGAUUAUCUCCCCUCCUGUUCUCGUCCAUUCCUCUCACACAUUGCUUUUUGUUUUAUUGUCUUUAUAAAAAAAAAUUAAUAUAAGAUGUUAACGUGGUUUAACCGUGACCGUUGAAAUAGAAGGGAAGAGAAGGGAAGGAGAUGAGGAUCAGGAGGGGGGAGCCUCCAAAACCUACAAAGCGCGUCUAGAUAGUAGAAGCUUUUUUUAAGAAGAAUUAAAAAUUGGGUCCUUCGCUUUUUUUAAGGAUUGGGUCCUUCGCAUUUACCCAACACCAAAUUUUGUUCCCUCAACAAAAAAAAAAAUUGAGAAGAAUUAAAAAUUUUCUCACAAAGUUAAAAUAAAAUAAUGUUUUACCAAUAAAAUAAAAUAAAUAAAUACGAAUUAGCAUAUAAAGUACAUUACUUGAAUUGGAGCAUUUUAGUCAUCACAUCGAUUUUCAUUCUGAUUCAUGUGAGUUAGUAAACAGUUUAUAUUGUUCAGUACUAUUCUUACUCUUAUUUUUUAAAAUUUUAGUAAACAGUUUCAAUAUGAAUCUAAUUCUAACAUAUUCCAAACUCUUCAAUUCAAUUUUUUCUUCUUUUGAAUAUGGAAUAGUAAACGACCCAUUAAAUUUUUAUCCCAAAUAUAAUCAAAAGUAGUUUUGAUUGUUCCACUGACAUUUUUAACUAUUUCAACAGCUUUCCCUCUGUUUAACUUUGCUUCAAUUUUUUGUUGGUGGACAGAAUUAGCAGUGCGGGGCUUGAACUAGCAAAUGUGCUGGUGACUUCUCCUCCCCUGCACCAGUCAUGGGACGCGGUUCAAAAGCAAAAGCUCCAGACAGCUGCUGAUCCGAAUGCACAAAUGACCUUAUACAUUAGUGAAACCAAGCACUCAAACACCACCAUCAUAUCUUUUCUUACUGCACCAGUAGAGGUUCAAGAUCCACAAGCGAUGAUUUCAUCGACGACUCUCAAGGACACAAAUUUUCUUCUCUUUGAGUUUUUGUGCAGCCAAAAAACACCAAGUUACUUCGUCAAUGAAUUGGCAAUCAAAUUCUUCGCCUUGAGUCACACCAACCUCGAUCUUUUGCGAACAAAGGUGUGUAAUGUUAUCUCUGAUAAUAUUUAAAAAAAAAGUUUCUUCGCAUACGAGAAAUCCUUAUAUAAGAACUUGUUCAUUCAUUGCCUACUUAAAAAUAGACAUAGAGACGGAAGAAAGGACGAAUCAAAUAGUUUAUUUUUUUUUUCCCAAUUUUUGUCUAUUCUUCACCUACUGAAUCAAACUUUUUCAUUGCUUUGACGACUAUUAAUUUUAGUGAGAAAUGGUUAGAAAUGAUAUUUAUAAUGUUAGAUUACUUUAUACUUAAUUAGUUUGGCUUCUUUGACAACUCUUAAUAUUAAUAAGAAACACUUACAAACACCUCAUUGUUAGAGUUAUAAGAGCCGAAUGUCAUAAAAUUGAUUCUAUUUUGUUUUGUUGUUGUUCAAAAUGGAGUUGAAUGUUUUUUUUUUUUUACCACGAAUGUAUUUCGAGGAACUUAUUUGUAAAGACGUCUCCGAAUUAAUUAUAUAGCAGUUCAGUAAUUGACCAACUUAAUGUAAUAUUUCAGCUGGUAGAAAGCAGCAAUUCCAACUCAUCGAUACUUAUCACUGGACAUUCUUUUGGAGGCUGUGUGGCUACCCUUUUCACCUUAUGGCUGCUACAAAGCCUCAACUUGUCGAAAGCGAAGCGUCCCCUUUGCAUCACUUUCGGUUCACCCUUGACCGGUGACGAACAACUCCGACAAUGUGUGUUGCAAUUCUCAACAUGGAGUUCUUGCUUCUUGAAUGUAGCCUCUAUCAACGAUCCUGUACCUAAAGCCUUCCUAACCGCUUCGCAAGCGAGUGAUUACAAGCCUUUCGGAACAUUCCUAUUGUGCUCCGCUUCGGGUGGUUCUUGCUUUGAGGACCCAGAUGCCAUUUUGCAACUGUUGGUGGAAACCGGCUCUCAGAGUGCUCAAAUUCAAGGUCCGAAUUUGGGGUUUCAGUAUUUCGAUUACGGACAGAUUUUGAGUGAUCUCAAGCUGAAGGCAUUUUCUAGAGAUGUCUUUGAGUUGGUUGAAGAGGAUAGAGUUCCACUUAAAGCUGGAAUUAAAACACAAUUGGCAGCAAUAUUUGGAGUUAAUAGCUCACAGGUAUCCAACUUUCCACACAAAUAUUUGAUUUGAUGAUGAUUCAGAGAAUGGUUUCUGCACAAACCUGUUUAUUUUUGUCUCUUGAUUUUCUUUUACUUUAUUUAAUCCGAAGAUUGGAAAUAAACACAGGUGUGCGGGGGGCAAUCACAUCCCUUGUUUUUACUUCUACUAACUUUUUUCGCAAAUCAUUUUGUAAGUCAUUGCAGCAGCAGCAACCCGACAUAAAUUUCGGCAAUCUGAUGCAAAAGAUGGAAACUCAAGAACGUAACCACGCAAUCCAGAAGACGCAGGUUUACAGUUCUUUCUGGAAAUUGAAUGAGAUUAAAAAGUACAUGGCCUACAUGGAAGGGUACAAGAAGGAGUCCAAAGAGAUGGGAAUUGGAUACUAUGACAGGUACAGAAACAAGCGUUGCUUGGGUGACAUUAAUGCCGAAGAGUACAAGAAGAAGCUCUCUAAUUACUGGGAGGACACGGUUGCAGAAGUUGAGAGCAAUCCCCAGAAAGAAGGAGCCGCAAUGCGUACUCGUUUCCUAUUUGGUGGAACGAAUUACAGAAGGAUGAUCGAACCGCUUCACAUUGCAGAGUACUACAAGGAAGGUGGAAAAGAUUACAUAAAGGAAAGGCCUCGACAUUUCGUUCUGUUGGAGCAAUGGUUCAAUGAAGACGCGGAAAAGAAGAAGCCAGAGAGGGAGCAGAAAGAAAAGGAGAACCCCCAACUGCGUGGCGAAAGCAAGUCGAACUCAAAAGCGAAGAAUGUGGCUUCAAGUCUGAAUGAUGAUUCUUGUUUUUGGGUGCAUGUCGAGGAAGCGCAUAUCUUAUGCAAUGAACAAGCGAGUAAUCCAAAUGCCAAGCAAAUGCUGAUGGAAUUUGAGCAGUACGUGCUGAAUAAUCUCGAGAAGUUUGCAGUGACGCCUGAUAUUUUCUUGGCCCAAAGCAGCUACAUGCAAUGGUGGAACGAGUACGAAAAAAGGGUGGGACAUGACUAUUCCUCACCACUCGCCAAGGUCAUGAAGCGUCACACUUACACCAAAUAUGCGGAGGGGGUCUCGGUUCUUGCUGAUAUAUAAUGCAAGAUAAUUAAAUUUUAAGCAAGCAAUUAAUUAAAUAAAGCAAGAUUAGUUAUGCUGUAUUGCUCAUGAUCUUCAUAUGGAAAAGUGUGCAGUACUUGCCAGACUUGUUGGCGCUACUACUUUUGAAUAUUUUUGUUUGUGGUUUCGUUUUGUUUUUUGGGCUCUAGCAUCUAUCUCUCUUUGUUUAAAGUAUAAGAAUGUGUGGGGGUAUUGUUUCAAUUAUGAUGUUGUAAUUUCCACUUCAUAAAUUAAUGAAACUCAUUGCAUUUCGAUUUCACUUAGUGUGAGGCCUACUCUAUUUUCAGUCUUUCAGCACAUUGCUAUUAGUGAUUUUUAAAUAUUACUCUAUUUUCAAUCUUUCAGCACAUUGCUAUUAGUGAUUUUUAAAUAUUUGGUAUCUGCUUAUGAUUUUUUCUUUUAUCAAUUUGUAUGUGUUAAUGUAGAUGUUUUUGCUGAGUCGAUUUUAAACUAUUAUUUUAUCUUAUUUUUAGUUAUAAUUUAUUGAUUAUUUUAGUUGAAUAUUGAUACUUUAUUCUAUAUUUUAAUUAUAUAAUAUGUGAAUCUAUUUUGGACAUAAAACGAUUAAACGAAUGAAUUUUAGAAUAAUUCUAAAUCAUGAAAUUUGGAAUAAUUCUAAAUCAAGUAGAUUCUUGAGUCUUUCCUGUUCGGGAGAUAUUUGUGUUUUUGUCUUUAGUGAACCUUGUGUUGUGAGCCACUAGGGGCACAUGUUUCCCUUGUCUCCCGGUUCUCUCUCUUUUCCCUCUCCCCGUCACUCUCUUUCCCUCCCUUCACUCUCUCCUCUCAAUUCUCUCAUCUUUCUCUCUAACCUCCCCUCUCCGGGAAAGCACACAAACACAACAACAACAGCAGCAACUGCACACAACCAUCCCUCACCCUCUAUGUGAACCCCACGAACCCAAAAAUGGCGAGGAGAUUCUUCCCCAGUUUUCCAGCGAGACCCGUGAGUUUGCAGGCAUUUUCCGGCUAUCUCCGGCGCAGAGAGAGUGAGCAACAUAAAUUUAAAGGACAAUGAUUGUCUGCCCUUCACUUUCGAUGCCUUCCUGUUUUGUAUGAUCACAGUUAGCACGUUAUUAUUUUAUAUUAUUUUUUUUAUAGAUAUAAUAAAACAAAAAUAAAUAAUAAUAUAAAAUAUUAACGUUGUUUAACCGUGAUCACACAAUCAGAAGACACUAGAGGACACCGAAAGUGAAGAGCAGACAAUCGUUCAAAUUUAAAUGAAUGGUUUCGACUUCCCAAGGGGUCAAAGGUGGUAAGUCCGGGCUCCACCUUGGAUUAUGUGAGAAACAUGGAAUGGAGAGUGUUACAGAGUAAUGAAUGGUUUCCACUUUCCAAGGGGUCAAGGGUAGUAUCUGGACUCGACCUUGGAUAAUGUGAGAAACAUGGGGUGUAGUGUUACAUAGAGUAAUUGAUUCGUUUUAAUUUUUUAUGAAGCCAACCACACAUCAGGAUGUUUAUUUUUUAUUUACUUAUCUGUAUUACUAUAUUACUAUAUUAUUAUAUUUCUUUAUUUUUCUCAUAUUUUGUAUUUUAUGUAAUUUUAAAUUAUGAACUUGUUAUACAUGUAUUGUUCUUCAAUACUCCUUAUUAUCGUUAUAUGAUAUAUAUGUUUAAUGUGUUUUUAAACUUUGGAUUUGUUGAAUACUCUUUUUAUAUUUUAUCAUUCUUUUAUUAUCUUAUUUGUAGAUUUCAUUCGAGUAUAAUUUUUUGUAAGUAUCAAUAUGUACUUAUUUACAAAAUAUACAAGAAAUUUAUCUAAAUCCGCCUAAACUGCCUAGACGCCUUCCUAGAUCCCGCUUAGAUGCCUAGGCGCUAAUCAUCAGCCUGUUUUCCGACUAACGCCUAACGUUUUUUGACCUUUAAAAAAACAGAAAGCUCAACCGCCAUUCCCUAUCCCUCAGAUUAACUCGUUAGAUUUCUUUGUAAAUUUCUUUGUACACUUCCGCGAAUGUGUAGUUGCUAAAUUCAAAUCAUGUAUUAAAUUACUCCGGAAUAUUCGUAACGCAAGCUGGAAGCAACAUGGAAUAAAUAAUUAUCUGAACUUUAACACGUAAACGUAGACAAGAGGAACAGAGGCAAAGUAUCGGGGCAAACGUCCAGCCCUCCCUUCUAGGAACAAGGUCAGUUGACAACGACAUAGACCUUCCCGUGCAUUGUCGACUUGGUGGGAACUUUCCUCGUGGGGCCCUUUGGUUGGUCGGGACAAUGAAGUCCAUAAGAAUAAGGACAAUACUUAGGUCCUGACUGCUCAGGAUCAAGUAUACGGACCUCACAACGUGGUACACUAUAAAGAUGACACCUGUCUUUUUGCUUAUCCAAACACCAAACAUGGCUUUCUUUGUUCUAUAUAUGCAAACAUAAACUAUUCUAUUAACCAAACACCAUCCUUCUCUCUCGUUGAAGAAUCCCCAACCUUUAAGAGACAAACCAGCAAGAACCUCCCUCGACCCACCUCGUUCCUCCGCCGCAAACCUACCCCGUGUCCUCUCCACCGUCGAUUCACCCCGUGUCCUCAUCCAACUUCUCUCCUCCGUCAACCGACCGCCGUUCCUCUGUCAACUUCACCGGUAUUCCUCCGUCGGCCCCGCUUCCGCUUCCGCCUCCGCCUCCUCCUUCAACCUCUCUCCUCCAUCGAAGUAGGUCCAUAAGAAUUCAUGUAAGGGAGGGGAUCUUUGUUCUUCGUGUAUAGUGUGACGUCGCUGCACUGAUACAAAUCUGUGAUGGCAUAGGAAAAGACAAGGACGAUGCGGGAUAAGCCCGGGAGCAAAGAGGAAGUGAAAAGGGAUUAUGGGGUGUUUGGAUGCCUAGGUAAUUGGAUAAACAGGGUGUUUGGCUGCAUAGCUUAAACAUAUAAAGUAGUACACGUGUUCUCUUUUAAUUGAGGCAUAUCAAUGGUCAGUGAAAAUUGUCCACUUGUGAGUAUCAAGUAUUAUCUUAAGAGUAACAAUAGCUUUAGAACUGUUUCCUCUUCUCUAUAAAGGACACACCAUUCUGUCUUCCAAAUCUCUCAAUCUACUGUGUUUUUAAGCAGAUCGCCACCAAAAGCUUGAAGAUGAACAACCAGUAAGUUAAUUUCAAACUCUUCCGAUCCUUGUUUUUCUUUGAAUCCUUUGUCAUUGAUUUUUCUUAUGGUUUAUUAGGAUAAUACUUGGCUACUGAAAGAUAAAUAGGAACUCUUAUUUAAAACUCUUAGGGUUUUAAACACAGGAUUUUGUAGUUAUGAUCAUAACCGUUCAUACUAUGAUUCACAUUGUCAAGAUCAUCUCUGUAAAAAAAUAAUUGAUUUUUGUCAGAAGCGAUUUGUAUAGGAUGAUUUAUAAACGGUUUGAUGACUAAACGUCCUUCGGUUUAAUUGAUUUUUGUCAGAAGCGAUUUGUAUAGGAUGAUUUAUAAUAUCAACGUUUCUGAUUAUAAACACGAACUUCUAUAAAUUGAUAACGAAUAAUUUUGAGAAAUUUUACUCAUCUCGUUUAUUAGACCUAAGUAUGAUUCUGCUCAAUUUAGUUUGGCAAAUAUCCACUUCAUCCAUGUGUGUUGAUUGUCGUGAUUAAGCGGAUCAUGUCUAGGACGGCUUCUGGAAUCGCUAUAAGUGUUUUGCAUGAAACUUCUUGGGGUUAAAUUUGGGGGAAAAAACUUACAAAGCGCGUCUAGAUAGUAGAAGCUAUUUUUAAGAAGCAUAUGUGCUAUGUGUAGCUUUAAGAAGAGUUUCCAAGUGCUUUAUUGAGAAACUCUUUGAAUAAAGUAAAAGAAAAAUGCUUAUGAGUAAAGUAAAAGAUAAGUGCUUAUGAGUAAAGUAUCUCGAGGCAAUAUUUAAUAAGUGUUCAUAUGCUUUAACAAAGUGGAAUUCAUUCCUACUAGUCUUCUGCUAAACUGACCUUAGGAUGAUUUAUAAUAUCAACGAUUCUGAUUAUAAACACGAACUUCUAUAAAUUGAUAACGAAUAAUUUUGAGAAAUUUUGAGUAUGGGUUUCUACUCAUCUCGAUUAUUAGACCUAAGUAUGAUUCUGCUCAAUUUAGUUUGGCAAAUAUCCACUUCAUCCAUGUGUGUUGAUUGUCGUGAUUAAGCGGAUGAUGUCUAGGACGGCUUCUAGAACCGCUAUAAGUGUUUUGCAUGAAACUUCUUGGGAUUAAAUUUGGAGGAAAAAACUUACAAAGCGCGUCUAGAUAGUAGAAGCUAUUUUUAAGAAGCAUAUGUGCUAUGUGUAGCUUUAAGAAGAGUUUCCAAGUUUCCAAGUUUCCAAGUGCUUUAUUGAGAAACUCUUUGAAUAAGUAAAAGAAAAAUGCUUAUGAGUAAAGUAAAAGAUAAGUGCUUAUGAGUAAAGUAUCUCGAGGCAAUAUUUAGUAAGUGUUCAUAUGCUUUAACAAAGUGGAAUUCAUUCUUACAAGUCUUCUGCUAAACUGACCUUAUUAGAAGCACAAUGAAAUUUUAUUGAAAAUGCUUUUAUGAUUCGUACAUACUUUUAUGAUACGUUUACGCAUGGGUAAUCGAAAUGGAAAAGUGGAAUUGAAUACGUGAAACAGUUUUAACAUGAAUCUGAUUCUACCAUAUUCCAACUCUUCAAUUCAAUUUCUUUUAUUUUGAAUACGGAAUAGUAAACAGCCUAUUAAAUUUUUCUGCCAAAUAUAAUCAAAAGUACUUUUGAUUGUUCUAAUGACAUUUUUAACUAUUUCAAAAGCAUUCCCUCCAUUUAACUUUGCUUCAAUUUUUUGUUGGUGAUGGACAGAAUUAGCAGUGCGGGGCUUGAACUAGCAAAUUUGCUGGUGACUUCUCCUCCCCUGCACCAGUCAUGGGACGCGGUUCAGAAGCAAAAGCUCCAGACAGCUGCUGAUCCGAAUGCACAAAUGGCCUUAUACAUUAGUGAAACCAAGCACUCAAACACCACCAUCAUAUCUUUUCUUACUUCACCAGUCAAGGUUCAAGAUCCACAAGCGAUGAUUUCAUCGAAGACUCUCAAGGACACAAAUUUUCUUCUCUUUGAGUUUUUGUGCAGCAAAAAAACCCCAAGUUUCUCCGUCAAUGAAUUGACAAUCAACUUCUUCGCGUUGAAUCACAUCAACCUCGACCUUCUGCGAACAAAGGUAUGUACUGUUAUCUCAAAUAAUUUUUUCCAAUUUUUGUCUAUUCUUCUCCUACUGAAUCAAACUUUUUCAUCGCUUUGACGACUAUUAAUUUUAGUGAGAAACGGUUCGAAAUGAUAUUUAUAAUGAUAGAUUACUUUCUACUUAAUUAGUUUGGCUUCUUUGACAACUCUUAAUAUUAGUGAGAAACACUUACAAACACCUCAUUAUUAGUGUUAUAAGAGCCGAAUGACGUAAAAUCGAUUCUAUUUUGUUUUGUUGUUGUUCAAAAUGGUGUUGAAUGUUAUUUUUUUUACCACGAAGGAACUUAUUUGUAAAAGACGUCUCCGAAUUAAUUAUAUAGCUAGCAGUUCAGUAAUUGACUAACUUCAUGCAAUAUUUCAGCUGGUAGAAAGCAGCAAUUCCAACUCAUCGAUACUUAUCACUGGACAUUCUUUUGGAGGCUGUGUAGCUACCCUUUUCACCUUAUGGCUGCUACAAAGCCUCAACUUGUCGAAAGCGAAGCGUCCCCUUUGCAUCACUUUUGGUUCACCCUUGACCGGUGACGAACAACUCCAACAAUGUGUGUUGCAAUUCUCAACUUGGAGUUCUUGCUUCUUGAAUGUAGCCUCUAUCAACGAUCCUGUACCUAAAGCCUUCCUAACAGCUUCGCAAGCAAGCAAUUACAAGCCUUUUGGAACAUUCCUAUUGUGCUCCGCUUCGGGUGGUUCUUGCUUUGAUGACCCUGAUGCCAUUUUGCAACUGUUGGUGGACACCGGCUCUCAGAGUGCUCAAAUUC
RNAcentral lists this long non-coding RNA (13918 nucleotides) under Malus domestica (apple). RNAcentral describes it as "long non-coding RNA (MDOM_LNC017177)". Lineage: Eukaryota; Viridiplantae; Streptophyta; Magnoliopsida; Rosales; Rosaceae. The record is from RNAcentral.